AUUGAACGCUGGCGGCAUGCUUUACACAUGCAAGUCGAACGGCAGCGCGGGCUUCGGCCUGGCGGCGAGUGGCGAACGGGUGAGUAAUGCAUCGGAACGUGCCCAGUAGUGGGGGAUAGCCCGGCGAAAGCGGGAUUAAUACCGCAUACGACCUGAGGGUGAAAGCGGGGGACCGAAAGGCCUCGCGCUAUUGGAUCGGCCGAUGUCGGAUUAGCUAGUUGGUGGGGUAAAGGCUUACCAAGGCGACGAUCCGUAGCUGGUCUGAGAGGACGACCAGCCACACUGGGACUGAGACACGGCCCAGACUCCUACGGGAGGCAGCAGUGGGGAAUUUUGGACAAUGGGGGCAAGCCUGAUCCAGCCAUGCCGCGUGCGGGAAGAAGGCCUUCGGGUUGUAAACCGCUUUUGUUCGGGAAGAAAUCCUGUGGGCUAAUACCCCGGGGGGAUGACGGUACCGGAAGAAUAAGCACCGGCUAACUACGUG
Molecule: ribosomal RNA, 484 nt
Filed under: uncultured bacterium
Lineage: Bacteria
Description: partial 16S ribosomal RNA
Rfam family: Bacterial small subunit ribosomal RNA
Source: RNAcentral